RNAcentral lists this ribosomal RNA (1534 nucleotides) under uncultured Bordetella sp. Its description in RNAcentral is "partial 16S-23S ribosomal RNA intergenic spacer". It matches the Rfam family "Bacterial small subunit ribosomal RNA". Lineage: Bacteria; Pseudomonadati; Pseudomonadota; Betaproteobacteria; Burkholderiales; Alcaligenaceae. The record is from RNAcentral.
GUUUGAUCAUGGCUCAGAUUGAACGCUGGCGCGGCAUGUUUUACACAUGCAAGUCGAACGGCAGCACGGACUUCGGUCUGGUGGCGCGAGUGGCGAACGGGUGAGUAAUGUAUCGGAACGUGCCUAGUAGCGGGGAUAACUACGCGAAAGCGUAGCUAAUACCGCAUACGUUCUUCGAAGGGGAAAGCGGGGACUCCUUCGCCCGGGCCGCAGUAAUUAUUAGAGCGGCCGAUAUCGGAUUAGCUAGUUGGUGGGGUAACCGGCUCACCAAGGCGACGAUCCGUAGCUGGUUUGAGAUUAACGCAGACCAGCCCACACUGGGACUGAGACACGCCCAGACUCUACGGAGGCAGCAGUGGGGAAUUCGGACAAUGGGGAAACCGGAUCCAGCCAUCCCGUGUGUGCGAUGAAGGCCUUCGGGUUGUGUUUUUCACUUUCGCAGGAAGAACGGCACGGAUAAUAUCCCCGUGCAACUGACGGUACCUGCAGAAUAAGCACCGGCGACCGCCGUGCCAGCAGCCUGGGGUGGUAAUACGUAGGGUGCAAAGCGUUGUCUGAAUUACUGGCGUAAAGCGUGCCGCAGGCGGUUCGGAAAGGAAAGAUGUGAAAUCCCAGAGCUUAACUUUGGAACCGCAUUUUUAACUACCGAGCUAGAGUGUGUCAGACAGGAGGCUGCGGAAUUCCGCGUGUAGCAGUGAAAUGCGUAGAUAUGCGGAGGAACACUGAUGGCGCGAAGGCAGCCUCCUGGGAUAACACUGGACGCUCAUGCACGAAAGCGUGGGGAGCAAAACAGGAUUAGAUACCCUGGUAGUCCACGCCCUAAACGAUGUCAAACUAGCCGUUGGGGCUUCGGCCUUGUAGCGCAGCUAACGCGUGAAGUUGACCGCCUGGGGAGUACGGUCGCAAAGAUUAAAAACCGUGCCAAAUGACGGGAUUCCGCACAAGCGGUGGAUGAUGUGGAUUAAUUCGAUGCAACGCGAAAACCUUACCUACCCUUGACAUGUCUGGAAUCCCGAAGAGAUUUGGGAGCGUCAGCACAAGAGAACCGAACACAGGUGCUGCAUGGCUGUCGUCAGCUCGUGUCGUGAGAUGUUGGGUUAAGUCCCGUAACGAGCGCAAACUCCUUGUCAUUAGUUGCUACGAAAGGCACCUAAUGAGAUCAGCCGGUGACAAACCGAGGAAGGUGGGGAUGACGUCGAGCUCAUGGCUCCCAUGGGUAGGGCUUCCUCCACACGUCGCUACAGUCGGUUUCGGACAGAGGGUCGCCGCUAACCCGCGAGGGGAGCCAAUCCCAGAAACCCGAUCGUAGUCCGAUCGCAGUCUGCAACUCGACCGCGUGAAGCCGGAAUCGCUACGUAAUCGCGGAUCAGCAUGUCGCGGCAUGACGUUCCCGGGUCUUGUACACACCGCCCGUCACACCAUGGGAGUGGGUUUUACCAGAAGUAGUUAGCCUAACCGUAAGGAGGGCGAUUACCACGGUAGGAUUCAUGACUGGGGUGAAGUCGUAACAAGGUAGCCCCAGCAUACUCGAUGC